AAGGCGUAAUCUGAAAAGCCUUCAACAGAGUAGGAA
This is a non-coding RNA of Flavobacterium sp. ABG, 36 nucleotides long. Lineage: Bacteria; Pseudomonadati; Bacteroidota; Flavobacteriia; Flavobacteriales; Flavobacteriaceae. The record is from Rfam.